Molecule: long non-coding RNA, 316 nt
Organism: Thalassophryne amazonica
Lineage: Eukaryota; Metazoa; Chordata; Actinopteri; Batrachoidiformes; Batrachoididae
Exons: 3
Source: RefSeq, a predicted model, not a curated record
CCUCCAGAGGCUGCGAGACACAGCUUCACCGUUUUUUGUAUUCUUUGACUGACGCCUGUCAACCAGUUCCCUCCUGCUACACAGCAUGCACAGUCCUCAUUCAACCCACCUGUUUCACAGCCUCCUGAUUAUCUCUGCAGCAUGCAGAAUGUGUCACUCCAGAACAUGUUUACUCCUGCUACAUAUCUGCAGUGGCCACCACCUCCACUGGCCCGCCUGGCUCCCUGCACCUGCAACCCCUCCUCCAGUGUCUUCACCUCCCGGUCUCCAUUAGAUCUACCCCAUUCUCAGCACUGUUAAAAUAAACUGUUUCCUG